GACGUAGGAUGCAAGCGUUGUCCGGAAUUAUUGGGCGUAAAGAGUUCGUAGGCGGUUAUCUAAGUCUGGUGUUAAAGCCCGAAGCUCAACUUCGGCAUGGCAUUGGAAACUGGAUGGCUAGAGUGUGGUAGAGGUCUCGGGAAUUCCUGGUGUAGCGGUGAAAUGCGUAGAUAUCAGGAGGAACACCGGUGGCGAAAGCGCGAGACUGGGCCAUAACUGACGCUGAGGAACGAAAGCUAGGGGAGCGAAAGGG
RNAcentral lists this ribosomal RNA (253 nucleotides) under uncultured bacterium. Its description in RNAcentral is "partial 16S ribosomal RNA". It matches the Rfam family "Bacterial small subunit ribosomal RNA", at positions 524 to 776 of the family's 1533-position model. The record is from RNAcentral.